This is a small nuclear RNA of Ailuropoda melanoleuca (giant panda), 102 nucleotides long. Lineage: Eukaryota; Metazoa; Chordata; Mammalia; Carnivora; Ursidae. The record is from Ensembl.
GUGCUCGUUUUGGCAGCACAUAAAAUUGGAGCGAUACAGACAAGAUUAACAUGACCCCUGCACAAGGAUGACGUGCAAAUUUGUGAAGCAUUGGUAUUUAAA